Molecule: long non-coding RNA, 1057 nt
Filed under: Brachypodium distachyon (stiff brome)
Lineage: Eukaryota; Viridiplantae; Streptophyta; Magnoliopsida; Poales; Poaceae
Description: long non-coding RNA (BDIS_LNC003561)
Source: RNAcentral
CUCUUCAUAUGAAUUGCAUUCAUGAGCAUCAUUCCACAUUUGCAUUUUUGAAUCAAAAUUUGAAUUACAAAAGGUUUUGAAAAGGUUUUAUUUCAUUUUAACCUUAGACUUUCACCCAUUUGAUAUUUGGAUUUUAAACCAAUAGGGUUUAUCUAUAAAAAGGGGUUUAUUGCAUAAAUAAGCUACCCCAUAAUUUUUAGUAUUUAAUUUAGAGUUGAAAAACUAUUUUAUUUAAAUAGUUAUAAAGCCCUAAAGGCAUUUAUAGGGAAAAUGUAUUUUUAUGUAUUUUAUUUUGAGGGGAAAUUAGCCCCAAAAGUUGAAUCACAUUAUAAUAUGGUUUUACAAAUUUUCUGGGAUUUAUUUGAAUCAAUUUGGAGUUCAAAAUCAAAAGUUAUAAGUAAAAACGGAAAAAGAAAAAGAAAAUAUAAAAAAAAAAGAAAACUAGACCGGCCCGGCCAUUUGGGCCGAACCGGCCCAGUCCAGCGUGCACCCGCACCCGAGCCGGCCCAAUGCCUGCACGCGCCGAGCCGCAGCCGCUGACAGGUGGGUCCCACCUGUUAGGGUCUUCAUCCCCGCAGGGAAACCCCCCGCGAAUCUCGCCGCCGCUGAGCCCGCGCGCCGUCGCCGCCGUGACGCCCGCGCCGCUGAUCCCGUGCUUCCCAAGCUCGCCCAACGCGCCCCAAUAAAGCCCACGCCCGCGCCUUUCUUUUUCCCCUGCUCUCUCUCUCGCUUACGCCCCCAGGCUGCCCUAAUUUCUCGCCGGAGCACCCCAGGGCCGCCGCCUUCUUUUGGUCGUCACCGGUGACAUGGUGAGUGUACUCCGCCGUCACUUGCUCUUUCUUUCUCCCCUCGUCAUCGCGCAUCCUCUGACGCCCUUCAUUUCAUGUUUGGUCCACCGUAGCACCUUGCCGACGUGAGCCCGAAGCUUAGCCACUGCUGCCGCCUCUUCAUCGUCCUAGGCGACGAUUCAGGCCACGAAGGAGAGCGCCACCGCCGCCAUCUUCACCGCCACGACGAGUCGCACCUCGCCGGUGCCUUCCCGAGCCCGAAACCCCAC